RNAcentral lists this microRNA precursor (74 nucleotides) under Myotis davidii. RNAcentral's name for it is "mir-9193 microRNA precursor family". It matches the Rfam family "mir-9193 microRNA precursor family". The record is from Rfam by way of RNAcentral. Lineage: Eukaryota; Metazoa; Chordata; Mammalia; Chiroptera; Vespertilionidae.
CUUGGAUGUGGGGGGGCCCUCAGCCCGGAUUGUGAGAGGGGGCAGGCCAGGCUGAGGGACCCCAUCAGUGCAUG